UCUUCUCAUUCUGCACCAGAGCUUUAGUCCAGUCCUUUCCAUAGGCAAAUUCCCCCAGGGUCUAUGGUCCUGUGCAGAAUGCAGAAAUGAUAAUUGAUAGAAAUUGCAAUUAAUAUAAAUAAGACAUAAUUACAGUUCCACAUGAUUUAAUGCAAGUCACUGCCAAAGAAGCCAAAGCAGAGGUUUCUGCAUAUCAUGGACAGUGGGAUGGUACAAAACCAGCCUGAUCUGCUUCAGGUGGCCUGUUAGUUCAGAGGCUUGAGCUUGACCAUAGCUCCUGACUCUUUUGUAAGGUAACAAGCUAGGUGGGUGCCAGGCAGGAGCUAAAGGUUUAUUUAGCCUGUGCUAUGGGUGAGCAAGCAGCAAAGGGAAUAGCAUGGACUGUUGGGCUAAGCCUGCCAUGCACAGGAUCUGAUGUGUCUCAGGGCAAGCAGGCCCUAGGGACAGAGUGGUCAUGGCAUGGGAAAAGAAUGGCCUGAUGGUUUUCCACUCUUAAAUUUCCCUUCUCCCACAGUAUAGAUCAGGAUUGCAGCAUCAGGAACAGGAGCCUGGGAGGCAGCAGUGCUGCUCUGGCUCAGCAUCCACAGAGGAAGUGAUCCAUGAGAAGGGCAGGAGUGGAACACAGGCACAAAGACAGUUACCUCAUUAUUGACCAUCAAAAAACCCUGUUUUGCGACACUGAAGAAACUCACAAGAAAAUUGAGAUCUUUCUCCGUGUGUCACUGUCUUUAUUCAGCUGGAAUGGAUUGUUUAUAUGAAAGAAAAAAAUCCCUACCUCUAGGGAUUACCUCUCUAGGGUGCCCCAGCUCCCCAUGUGCCUGGCUGGCGUGCAGGUGACAGUCACUGCUGUGUUGCAGCCAAAACGUGGAGUCUGCAGACAGCUGAAGUCCCAGUGGUGGAGCAGGACCUGGGGCAUGAGCCGUCCCGAUGGGAGUUACGGGAGAGGCAAGGCAGGCCAAGAUGGAGAGCCCAGAGCCAGGAGGGACUGCUGUGCAGAAAGCCUGAGAGCAG
Molecule: non-coding RNA, 1011 nt
Organism: Sturnus vulgaris (Common starling)
Lineage: Eukaryota; Metazoa; Chordata; Aves; Passeriformes; Sturnidae
Source: RefSeq, a predicted model, not a curated record